CGGCUGGAAUGGGGAAUUUGUGAGGUCAAGGAUGCAUUCCAGGAAAGUUCUAUAAAAAUAUACCAUCAACUCCAACCUGAUAUUUGACCUAGCCAUGGAAAACCUCAUUGGCUCCUCACUGGAUCAGACCAUAAAAAUGAUCCAGGAAUGAAAAUCUAAGAUAAAUUCCCACCACUUCAAGAUGUUCUUAUACAAGUCAACAGUCUAGCAGAUCAGCCAGUCUCUUUCAUCAUCAAGCAGACAUACUCAAGAAAGAGGAAUAGUGAAGUGAAAUACACAGAAGCAUGUUCAAGUUCAUCUGUUGAAUCUGGAAUUGUGAAUAGUGACAAUAUUGAGAAAAAUACUGACUCCAAUCUGCAAACUUCAACUUCAUUUGAGCCACAUUUCAAAAAGAAAAAAGUAAGUGCAAGACGUUAUAAUGAAGAUUACUUAAAAUAUGGCUUUAUCAAAUGUGAAAAACCCUUUGAAAAUGACAGACCUCAGUGUGUUAUUUGUAAUAAUAUUCUUGCGAAUGAAAGCUUAAAACCUUCGAAAUUAAAAAGGCACUUAGAAACUCAGCAUGCUGAACUUAUUGAUAAGCCUCUUGAAUAUUUUCAAAGAAAGAAAAAAGACAUAAAGUUAUCAACACAAUUUCUUAGUUGUUCUACUGCUGUUAGUGAGAAAGCCUUAUUAUCAUCAUAUUUAGUUGCAUAUCGUGUGGCAAAAGAGAAAAUAGCUAACACAGCUGCUGAAAAAAUUAUUCUUCCAGCAUGUUUGGAUAUGGUGCGUACAAUAUUUGAUGAUAAAUCAGCUGAUAAAUUAAAAACUAUACCUAAUGAUAACACAGUAUCUCUUCGAAUUUGUACUAUUGCAGAACAUUUAGAAACAAUGCUUAUUACUCGUUUACAGUCUGGUAUAGAUUUUGCAAUCCAGCUUGAUGAAAGCACUGAUAUUGGAAGCUGCACAACACUUUUAGUUUAUGUCAGAUAUGCGUGGCAAGAUGAUUUUUUGGAGGAUUUUUUGUGUUUUUUAAAUUUAACCUCACACCUAAGUGGUUUAGAUAUUUUUACAGAAUUAGAAAGGCACAUAGUUGGCCAAUAUAAAUUAAACUGGAAAAACUGUAAAGGAAUUACAAGUGAUGGCACAGCAACCAUGACUGGAAAACAUAGCAGAGUAAUUAAAAAAUUACUAGAAGUUACUAAUAAUGGUGCUGUGUGGAAUCAUUGUUUUAUACAUCGUGAAGGUUUAGCAUCCAGAGAAAUUCCACAGAAUCUCAUGGAAGUAUUGAAAAAUGCAGUGAAAGUUGUUAAUUUUAUUAAAGGAAGCUCAUUGAAUAGCCGGCUUCUUGAAACAUUUUGUUCAGAGAUUGGAACUAAUCAUACCCACUUACUAUAUCAUACCAAAAUUCGUUGGUUGUCUCAAGGGAAAAUACUAAGCAGGGUUUAUGAGCUCAGGAAUGAGAUUCACUUUUUUCUCAUUGAAAAAAAAUCUCAUUUGGCAAGUAUUUUUGAAGAUGAUACUUGGGUAACAAAAUUGGCAUAUUUAACUGAUAUUUUUAGCAUUCUUAAUGAACUGAGUUUAAAACUACAGGGGAAAAACAGUGAUGUAUUCCAACAUGUUGAACAUAUCCAGGGAUUUCGAAAGACAUUAUUGUUAUGGCAAGUAAGACUUAAAAGUAAUCGUCCUAGCUAUUACAUGUUUCCAAGAUUUUUGCAGCAUAUUGAAGAGAAUAUUAUUAAUGAAAACAUUUUGAAAGAAAUAAAAUUAGAGAUAUUGUUGCAUCUCACUUCUCUGUCUCAAACUUUUAACCAUUUCUUUCCAGAAGAAAAAUUUGAAACAUUAAGGGAAAACAGUUGGGUAAAAGAUCCAUUUGCUUUUCGAAACCCUGAAUCAAUAAUUGAGCUAAACUUGGUGCCUGAAGAAGAGAAUGAAUUAUUGCAGCUUAGUUCUUCAUAUACAUUGAAGAAUGAUUAUGAAACCUUAAGUUUAUCAGCAUUUUGGAUGAAGGUAAAGGAAGACUUUCCAUUGUUAAGUAGAAAGAGUGUCCUGCUAUUGCUACCAUUCACAACAACUAGUUUGUGUGAACUAGGGUUUUCCAUCUUAACGCAGUUAAAAACAAAGGAAAGAAAUGGGCUGAAUUGUGCAGCAGCUAUGCGGGUAGCAUUAUCUUCCUGUGUUCCAGACUGGAAUGAACUUAUGAACAGGCAAGCACACCCAUCAUAGUAAAUAAAAAUCUUA
This 2217-nucleotide long non-coding RNA is filed under the name Pan troglodytes (chimpanzee). RNAcentral describes it as "long non-coding RNA NONPTRT012427". The record is from RNAcentral. Lineage: Eukaryota; Metazoa; Chordata; Mammalia; Primates; Hominidae.